This 441-nucleotide ribosomal RNA is filed under the name Klebsiella pneumoniae. RNAcentral's name for it is "partial 23S ribosomal RNA". It matches the Rfam family "Bacterial large subunit ribosomal RNA", at positions 1 to 472 of the family's 2925-position model. Lineage: Bacteria; Pseudomonadati; Pseudomonadota; Gammaproteobacteria; Enterobacterales; Enterobacteriaceae. The record is from RNAcentral.
GGGUUGUGAGGUUAAGCGACUAAGCGUACACGGUGGAUGCCCUGGCAGUCAGAGGCGAUGAAGGACGUGCUAAUCUGCGAAAAGCGUCGGUAAGGUGAUAUGAACCGUUAUAACCGGCGAUGUCCGAAUGGGGAAACCCAGUGUGAUUCGUCACACUAUCGUUAACUGAAUACAUAGGUUAACGAGGCGAACCGGGGGAACUGAAACAUCUAAGUACCCCGAGGAAAAGAAAUCAACCGAGAUUCCCCCAGUAGCGGCGAGCGAACGGGGAGCAGCCCAGAGUCUGAAUCAGCUUGUGUGUUAGUGGAACGGUCUGGAAAGUCCGACGGUACAGGGUGAUAGUCCCGUACACCAAAAUGCACAGGCUGUGAACUCGAAGAGUAGGGCGGGACACGUGGUAUCCUGUCUGAAUAUGGGGGGACCAUCCUCCAAGGCUAAAUA